Molecule: ribosomal RNA, 433 nt
Filed under: uncultured bacterium
Lineage: Bacteria
Description: partial 16S ribosomal RNA
Rfam family: Bacterial small subunit ribosomal RNA
Source: RNAcentral
AACGAACGCUGGCGGCAUGCCUAACACAUGCAAGUCGAACGAGACCUUCGGGUCUUGUGGCGCACGGGUGCGUAACGCGUGGGAACCUGCCCUUAGGUUCGGAAUAACUCCCCGAAAGGGGUACUAAUACCGGAUAAUGUCUUCGGACCAAAGAUUUAUCGCCUUUGGAUGGGCCCGCGUUGGAUUAGCUAGUUGGUAGGGUAAAAGCCUACCAAGGCGACGAUCCAUAGCUGGUCUGAGAGGAUGAUCAGCCACACUGGGACUGAGACACGGCCCAGACUCCUACGGGAGGCAGCAGUGGGGAAUAGUGGACAAUGGGCGAAAGGCUGAUCCAGCAAUGCCGCGUGAGUGAUGAAGGCCUUAGGGUUGUAAAGCUCUUUUAACCGGGAUGAUAAUGACAGUACCGGGAGAAUAAGCUCCGGCUAACUCCGUG